RNAcentral lists this ribosomal RNA (485 nucleotides) under uncultured bacterium. RNAcentral describes it as "bacterial SSU rRNA". It matches the Rfam family "Bacterial small subunit ribosomal RNA", at positions 29 to 507 of the family's 1533-position model. The record is from RNAcentral.
AUUGAACGCUGGCGGCAUGCUUUACACAUGCAAGUCGAACGGCAGCGCGGGGCAACCCUGGCGGCGAGUGGCGAACGGGUGAGUAAUGCAUCGGAACGUAUCCUGUAAUGGGGGAUAAACGUAGCGAAAGUUACGCUAAUACCGCAUACGCUCGAGAGAGGAAAGUGGGGGAUCGCAAGACCUCACGUUAUAGGAGCGGCCGAUGUCCGAUUAGCUAGUUGGUGGGGUAAAGGCCUACCAAGGCGACGAUCGGUAGCUGGUCUGAGAGGAUGAUCAGCCACACUGGGACUGAGACACGGCCCAGACUCCUACGGGAGGCAGCAGUGGGGAAUUUUGGACAAUGGGCGAAAGCCUGAUCCAGCCAUGCCGCGUGCGGGAAGAAGGCCUUCGGGUUGUAAACCGCUUUAGUCCGGGAAAAAGGGGUGCGAGGAUAAUACCCUCGUGCUUUGAUGGUACUGGAAGAAUAAGCACCGGCUAACUACGUG